This 424-nucleotide ribosomal RNA is filed under the name uncultured bacterium. Its description in RNAcentral is "bacterial SSU rRNA". It matches the Rfam family "Bacterial small subunit ribosomal RNA", at positions 357 to 772 of the family's 1533-position model. The record is from RNAcentral.
GGGAAUUGUUCGCAAUGGGCGCAAGCCUGACGACGCAACGCCGCGUGGAGGAUGAAGAAUUUCGGUUCGUAAACUCCUUUCGACCAAGAUGAACAUCCGCCGAUUUAACACAUCGGCGGACUGACAGUAUUGAGAGAAGAAGCCACGGCUAACUUCGUGCCAGCAGCCGCGGUAAUACGAAGGUGGCAAGCGUUGUUCGGAUUUACUGGGCGUAAAGAGCACGUAGGCGGUUGGGAAAGCCUCUUGGGAAAUCUCCCGGCUUAACCGGGAAAGGUCGAGAGGAACUAUUCAGCUAGAGGACGGGAGAGGAGCGCGGAAUUCCCGGUGUAGCGGUGAAAUGCGUAGAUAUCGGGAAGAAGGCCGGUGGCGAAGGCGGCGCUCUGGAACGUACCUGACGCUGAGGUGCGAAAGCGUGGGGAGCAAA